UACGUAGGGUGCGAGCGUUAAUCGGAAUUACUGGGCGUAAAGCGUGCGCAGGCGGUUAUGCAAGACAGAUGUGAAAUCCCCGGGCUCAACCUGGGAACUGCAUUUGUGACUGCAUAGCUGGAGUACGGCAGAGGGGGAUGGAAUUCCGCGUGUAGCAGUGAAAUGCGUAGAUAUGCGGAGGAACACCGAUGGCGAAGGCAAUCCCCUGGGCCUGUACUGACGCUCAUGCACGAAAGCGUGGGGAGCAAACAGG
This 253-nucleotide ribosomal RNA is filed under the name uncultured bacterium. Its description in RNAcentral is "partial 16S ribosomal RNA". It matches the Rfam family "Bacterial small subunit ribosomal RNA", at positions 524 to 776 of the family's 1533-position model. The record is from RNAcentral.